RNAcentral lists this ribosomal RNA (1253 nucleotides) under Enterobacter hormaechei. RNAcentral's name for it is "partial 23S ribosomal RNA". It matches the Rfam family "Bacterial large subunit ribosomal RNA", at positions 1132 to 2366 of the family's 2925-position model. RNAcentral also lists the same sequence under 1 other name. Lineage: Bacteria; Pseudomonadati; Pseudomonadota; Gammaproteobacteria; Enterobacterales; Enterobacteriaceae. The record is from RNAcentral.
GCGUAAUAGCUCACUGGUCGAGUCGGCCUGCGCGGAAGAUGUAACGGGGCUAAACCAUGCACCGAAGCUGCGGCAGCGACACUAUGUGUUGUUGGGUAGGGGAGCGUUCUGUAAGCCGUUGAAGGUGGCCUGUGAGGGUUGCUGGAGGUAUCAGAAGUGCGAAUGCUGACAUAAGUAACGAUAAAGCGGGUGAAAAGCCCGCUCGCCGGAAGACCAAGGGUUCCUGUCCAACGUUAAUCGGGGCAGGGUGAGUCGACCCCUAAGGCGAGGCCGAAAGGCGUAGUCGAUGGGAAACAGGUUAAUAUUCCUGUACUUGGUGUUACUGCGAAGGGGGGACGGAGAAGGCUAUGUCAGCCGGGCGACGGUUGUCCCGGUUUAAGCAUGUAGGCGGAGGUUCCAGGUAAAUCCGGUACCUUAUUAACGCUGAGGUGUGAUGACGAGGCACUACGGUGCUGAAGUGAUAAAUGCCCUGCUUCCAGGAAAAGCCUCUAAGCAUCAGGUAACACGAAAUCGUACCCCAAACCGACACAGGUGGUCAGGUAGAGAAUACCAAGGCGCUUGAGAGAACUCGGGUGAAGGAACUAGGCAAAAUGGUGCCGUAACUUCGGGAGAAGGCACGCUGAUGUGUAGGUGAAGCCCCUGCGGGCGGAGCUGAAAUCAGUCGAAGAUACCAGCUGGCUGCAACUGUUUAUUAAAAACACAGCACUGUGCAAACACGAAAGUGGACGUAUACGGUGUGACGCCUGCCCGGUGCCGGAAGGUUAAUUGAUGGGGUUAGCGGCAACGCGAAGCUCUUGAUCGAAGCCCCGGUAAACGGCGGCCGUAACUAUAACGGUCCUAAGGUAGCGAAAUUCCUUGUCGGGUAAGUUCCGACCUGCACGAAUGGCGUAAUGAUGGCCAGGCUGUCUCCACCCGAGACUCAGUGAAAUUGAACUCGCUGUGAAGAUGCAGUGUACCCGCGGCAAGACGGAAAGACCCCGUGAACCUUUACUAUAGCUUGACACUGAACACUGGUCCUUGAUGUGUAGGAUAGGUGGGAGGCUUUGAAGCGUGGACGCCAGUCUGCGUGGAGCCAACCUUGAAAUACCACCCUUUAAUGGCUGGUGUUCUAACGUAGACCCGUAAUCCGGGUUGCGGACAGUGUCUGGUGGGUAGUUUGACUGGGGCGGUCUCCUCCCAAAGAGUAACGGAGGAGCACGAAGGUUGGCUAAUCCUGGUCGGACAUCAGGAGGUUAGUGCAAUGGCAUAAGCCA